This 352-nucleotide ribosomal RNA is filed under the name Philisca doilu. Its description in RNAcentral is "partial 16S ribosomal RNA". The record is from RNAcentral. Lineage: Eukaryota; Metazoa; Arthropoda; Arachnida; Araneae; Anyphaenidae.
UUGUCUUUUAAUUGAAGACUAGAACAAAAGAUUGAACAAUUUAAUUAAUAUAUAAAAAUUUAAAUUUAUUCUUCAUGUAAAAAAACACUUAUAUUUUAGGAAGACGACAAGACCCUAUUAAACUUAACUUAAGUUCAACUGGGGCAGUUGAUUAAUUAUUACUUUAAUUAAUUUUUUAAUUUAAAUGAUCCAAUAUAACUGAUUAUAUAAUCAAGUUACUAUAGGGAUAACAGCGUAAUAUUAAUCUAAAGAUCUUAUUUAAAUAAAAGAUUGCGACCUCGAUGUUGAAUUAAUAACCUAAUUAUUGCAAUAAAUAAAUAAAGGAAGUCCGUUCGACUUUUAAAAAAUUACA